AUUGAACGCUGGCGGCAUGCCUUACACAUGCAGGUCGAACGGCAGCGCGGGGCAACCUGGCGGCGAGUGGCGAACGGGUGAGUAAUAUAUCGGAACGUACCCUGGAGUGGGGGAUAACGUAGCGAAAGUUACGCUAAUACCGCAUACGAUCUAAGGAUGAAAGUGGGGGAUUCGCAAGAACCUCAUGCUCCUGGAGCGGCCGAUAUCUGAUUAGCUAGUUGGUAGGGUAAAAGCCUACCAAGGCAUCGAUCAGUAGCUGGUCUGAGAGGACGACCAGCCACACUGGAACUGAGACACGGUCCAGACUCCUACGGGAGGCAGCAGUGGGGAAUUUUGGACAAUGGGCGCAAGCCUGAUCNAGCAAUGCCGCGUGAGUGAAGAAGGCCUUCGGGUUGUAAAGCUCUUUUGUCAGGGAAGAAACGGGUUUUUCUAAUACAGAGAUCUAAUGACGGUACCUGAAGAAUAAGCACCGGCUAACUACGUGCCAGCAGCCGCGGUAAUACGUAGGGUGCAAGCGUUAAUCGGAAUUACUGGGCGUAAAGCGUGCGCAGGCGGUUUUGUAAGACUGUCGUGAAAUCCCCGGGCUCAACCUGGGAAUGGCGAUGGUGACUGCAAGGCUAGAGUUUGGCAGAGGGGGGUAGAAUUCCACGUGUAGCAGUGAAAUGCGUAGAUAUGUGGAGGAACACCGAUGGCGAAGGCAGCCCCCUGGGUCAAAACUGACGCUCAUGCACGAAAGCGUGGGGAGCAAACAGGAUUAGAUACCCUGGUAGUCCACGCCCUAAACGAUGUCUACUAGUUGUCGGGUUUUAAUUAACUUGGUAACGCAGCUAACGCGUGAAGUAGACCGCCUGGGGAGUACGGUCGCAAGAUUAAAACUCAAAGGAAUUGACGGGGACCCGCACAAGCGGUGGAUGAUGUGGAUUAAUUCGAUGCAACGCGAAAAACCUUACCUACCCUUGAC
RNAcentral lists this ribosomal RNA (961 nucleotides) under uncultured bacterium. RNAcentral's name for it is "bacterial SSU rRNA". It matches the Rfam family "Bacterial small subunit ribosomal RNA", at positions 28 to 985 of the family's 1533-position model. The record is from RNAcentral.